GACGAACGCUGGCGGCGUGCCUAAUACAUGCAAGUUGAGCGCUGAAGGUUGGUACUUGUACCAACUGGAUGAGCAGCGAACGGGUGAGUAACGCGUGGGGAAUCUGCCUUUGAGCGGGGGACAACAUUUGGAAACGAAUGCUAAUACCGCAUAAAAACUUUAAACACAAGUUUUAAGUUUGAAAGAUGCAAUUGCAUCACUCAAAGAUGAUCCCGCGUUGUAUUAGCUAGUUGGUGAGGUAAAGGCUCACCAAGGCGAUGAUACAUAGCCGACCUGAGAGGGUGAUCGGCCACCUUGGGACUGAGACCCGGCCCAAACUCCUACGGGAGGCAGCUGUAGGGAAUCUUCGGCAAUGGACGAAAGUCUGACCGAGCAACGCCGCGUGAGUGAAGAAGGUUUUCGGAUCGUAAAACUCUGUUGGUAGAGAAGAACGUUGGUGAGAGUGGAAAGCUCAUCAAGUGACGGUAACUACCCAGAAAGGGACGGCUAACUACGUG
This 497-nucleotide ribosomal RNA is filed under the name uncultured bacterium. RNAcentral's name for it is "partial 16S ribosomal RNA". It matches the Rfam family "Bacterial small subunit ribosomal RNA", at positions 28 to 507 of the family's 1533-position model. The record is from RNAcentral.